CCUACGGGAGGCAGCAGUGGGGAAUAUUGGACAAUGGGCGAAAGCCUGAUCCAGCCAUGCCGCGUGUGUGAAGAAGGCCUUCGGGUUGUAAAGCACUUUCAGUGGGGAAGAAAGCCUUGGGGCUAAUACCCUCGAGGAAGGACAUCACCCACAGAAGAAGCACCGGCUAACUCCGUGCCAGCAGCCGCGGUAAUACGGCGGGUGCGAGCGUUAAUCGGAAUUACUGGGCGUAAAGCGCGCGUAGGCGGUCUGAUAAGCCGGUUGUGAAAGCCCCGGGCUCAACCUGGGAACGGCAUCCGGAACUGUCAGGCUAGAGUGCAGGAGAGGAAGGUAGAAUUCCCGGUGUAGCGGUGAAAUGCGUAGAGAUCGGGAGGAAUACCAGUGGCGAAGGCGGCCUUCUGGACUGACACUGACGCUGAGGUGCGAAAGCGUGGGUAGCAAACAGGAUUAGAUACCCUUGUAGUC
Molecule: ribosomal RNA, 465 nt
Filed under: Vreelandella stevensii
Lineage: Bacteria; Pseudomonadati; Pseudomonadota; Gammaproteobacteria; Oceanospirillales; Halomonadaceae
Description: partial 16S ribosomal RNA
Rfam family: Bacterial small subunit ribosomal RNA
Source: RNAcentral